Molecule: non-coding RNA, 69 nt
Organism: Podarcis lilfordi (Lilford's wall lizard)
Lineage: Eukaryota; Metazoa; Chordata; Lepidosauria; Squamata; Lacertidae
Source: the annotation of a GenBank genome assembly
GCCAUGGCUCAGUGGUAGAACACAUUCCUUUAAUGCAAAAGGUCCCAGGUUCAAUACCCAGUAUCUCCA